CUAGCAUGUGCGCAAGUCAUUGGGUAUUUAUAAUAAACCUAAAGGCGUAAUGAAAGUAAAUAUAUAUAUAUAAUUUUUAUAAUUAUAUUUUAUAAAGGGAAGAUGGGUAACGUUAUUUAUGUUACCUCGCAUUCCCGGGGCGUCGCAUACUUAUUGCAAGUUGCGGCGCACCAAGAGCGUACACGCUGGGACCCGAAAGAUGGUGAACUAUGCCUGGUCAGGAUGAAGUCAGGGGAAACCCUGAUGGAGGUCCGUAGCGAUUCUGACGUGCAAAUCGAUCGUAUGAACUGGGUAUAGGGGCGAAAGACUAAUCGAACCAUC
Molecule: ribosomal RNA, 321 nt
Filed under: Blackburnia putealis
Lineage: Eukaryota; Metazoa; Arthropoda; Insecta; Coleoptera; Carabidae
Description: eukaryotic LSU rRNA
Rfam family: Eukaryotic large subunit ribosomal RNA
Source: RNAcentral